RNAcentral lists this unclassified non-coding RNA (281 nucleotides) under uncultured bacterium. RNAcentral describes it as "contains 16S-23S intergenic spacer region". The record is from RNAcentral.
CCCCAAAAGGCAACUGACAGCUUAAUUCAGCGGUAACUGCCGUCAAUGCUUUCUUAACCGCGUUCGAAUUAGAUGCAGCGCCUCGAACCUGAGGCGCGAUUUUCCCUCCCAUUCAACUGCGCCCCGGUUCUCCCCGAACCGGGCGCUUUUUUAAGUCAUGGGACAGAAGGACAAGACCGAGGCCGAGGAGUGGAUUGAGAGCGCUAUCCUUUCGCUCGAAUACGUUCCCCACGAUGACGUUCAACUCCGCCAGGUAGCUAGCGCAAUCGAGUGGUAUCGCU